Molecule: ribosomal RNA, 1065 nt
Filed under: uncultured Bacteroidales bacterium
Lineage: Bacteria; Pseudomonadati; Bacteroidota; Bacteroidia; Bacteroidales
Description: bacterial SSU rRNA
Rfam family: Bacterial small subunit ribosomal RNA
Source: RNAcentral
AACGCUAGCUACAGGCUUAACACAUGCAAGUCGAGGGGUUUUUCUUUAGAAGCUUGCUUUUGAAGGAGAACGACCGGCGCACGGGUGAGUAACGCGUAUCCAACCUGCCCUUCAUAUUGGGAUAGCCUCUCGAAAGGGAGAUUAAUACCGAAUAACAUAGAAUGAUUGCCUGAUUUUUCUAUGAAAGCUCCGGCGAUGAAGGAUGGGGAUGCGUUCCAUUAGGUAGUAGGCGGGGUAACGGCCCACCUAGCCUACGAUGGAUAGGGGUUCUGAGAGGAAGGUCCCCCACACUGGAACUGAGACACGGUCCAGACUCCUACGGGAGGCAGCAGUGAGGAAUAUUGGUCAAUGGGCGCAAGCCUGAACCAGCCAAGUAGCGUGAAGGAUGACUGCCCUAUGGGUUGUAAACUUCUUUUUUACGGGAACAAAUGUUGCUACGUGUAGCAAUUUGCGUGUACCGUACGAAUAAGCAUCGGCUAACUCCGUGCCAGCAGCCGCGGUAAUACGGAGGAUGCGAGCGUUAUCCGGAUUUAUUGGGUUUAAAGGGAGCGUAGGUGGUCUGUUAAGCCAGCUGUGAAAUACUGUAGCUCAACUACAGCCGUGCAGUUGGAACUGGCGGACUUGAGUGCACAAGAGGAAGGUGGAAUUCAUGGUGUAGCGGUGAAAUGUUUAGAUAUCAUGAAGAACUCCGAUUGCGAAGGCAGCCUUCUGGGGUGCAACUGACACUGAUGCUCGAAAGUGUGGGUAUCGAACAGGAUUAGAUACCCUGGUAGUCCACACAGUAAACGAUGGAUACUCGCUGCCGGCGAUAUAAUGUCGGUGGCUUAGCGAAAGCGUUAAGUAUCCCACCUGGGGAGUACGCCGGCAACGGUGAAACUCAAAGGAAUUGACGGGGGCCCGCACAAGCGGAGGAACAUGUGGUUUAAUCCGAUGAUACGCGAGGAACCUUACCCAGGCUCGAACGGCAAUCUGAAUGUUACCAGAGAUGGUUUCAGUCUUCGGACAGAUUGUCGAGGUGCUGCAUGGUUGUCGUCAGCUCGUGCCGUGAGGUGUCGGCUUAAGUGC